This 253-nucleotide ribosomal RNA is filed under the name uncultured bacterium. RNAcentral describes it as "partial 16S ribosomal RNA". It matches the Rfam family "Bacterial small subunit ribosomal RNA", at positions 524 to 776 of the family's 1533-position model. The record is from RNAcentral.
UACGUAGGAUGCAAGCGUUGUCCGGAAUGAUUGGGCGUAAAGCGUCCGCAGGUGGGACUUCAAGUCUGCUGUUAAAUACUAGGGCUUAACCCUGGAGCGGCAGUGGAAACUGAAGAGCUAGAGUUCGGUAGGGGUAGAGGGAAUUCCCAGUGUAGCGGUGAAAUGCGUAGAGAUUGGGAAGAACACCGGUGGCGAAAGCGCUCUGCUGGGCCGAAACUGACACUGAGGGACGAAAGCUAGGGGAGCGAACGGG